GAUGAAGAACGUAGCGAAAUGCGAUACUUGGUGUGAAUUGCAGAUUCCCGUGAACCAUCGAGUCUUUGAACGCAAGUUGCGCCUCAAGCCAUUAGGUUGAGGGCACGUCUGCCUGGGCGUCACAUAUCGUUGCCUGAUGCCAGUUUCCUCGUGAUGGGUGACUGUGCAGGGCGAAUGAUGGCUUCCCGUGAGCAUUGUUGCCUCAUGGUUGGUUGAAAAUUGAGUCCUUGGUAGGGAGCGCCGUGAUAGAUGGUGGUUGAGUGACGAACGAGACCCAAUCAUGUGAGACCCCUACCGAAUUUGGCCUUCAUGACCCACAUGCGUCUUUGGAACGCUCAUGACGAGACCUCAGGUCAGGCGGGGCUACCCGCUGAGUUUAAGCAUAUCAAUAAGCGGAGGA
This 400-nucleotide unclassified non-coding RNA is filed under the name soil metagenome. RNAcentral's name for it is "partial contains 5.8S ribosomal RNA, internal transcribed spacer 2, and large subunit ribosomal RNA". The stretch from base 1 to 122 matches the Rfam family "5.8S ribosomal RNA", at positions 35 to 154 of the family's 154-position model. The record is from RNAcentral.